Molecule: ribosomal RNA, 506 nt
Filed under: uncultured bacterium
Lineage: Bacteria
Description: partial 16S ribosomal RNA
Rfam family: Bacterial small subunit ribosomal RNA
Source: RNAcentral
AGUGAACGCUGGCGGUAGGCCUAACACAUGCAAGUCGAACGGCAGCACAGGAGAGCUUGCUCUCUGGGUGGCGAGUGGCGGACGGGUGAGGAAUACAUCGGAAUCUACUUUUUCGUGGGGGAUAACGUAGGGAAACUUACGCUAAUACCGCACACGACCUACGGGUGAAAGCAGGGGAUCUUCGGACCUUGCGCGAUUGAAUGAGCCGAUGUCGGAUUAGCUAGUUGGCGGGGUAAAGGCCCACCAAGGCGACGAUCCGUAGGUGGUCUGAGAGGAUGAUCAGCCACACUGGAACUGAGACACGGUCCAGACGCCUACGGGAGGCAGCAGUGGGGAAUAUUGGACAAUGGGCGCAAGCCUGAUCCAGCCAUACCGCGUGGGUGAAGAAGGCCUUCGGGUUGUAAAGCCCUUUUGUUGGGAAAGAAAUCCAGCUGGUUAAUACCCGGUUGGGAUGACGGUACCCAAAGAAUAAGCACCGGCUAACUUCGUGCCAGCCGCCGCCGUAA